RNAcentral lists this long non-coding RNA (454 nucleotides) under Monodelphis domestica (gray short-tailed opossum). RNAcentral describes it as "lncRNA (ENSMODG00000050250.1)". Lineage: Eukaryota; Metazoa; Chordata; Mammalia; Didelphimorphia; Didelphidae. The record is from RNAcentral.
CACCACAUUGGCCCAAGUCAUUCCUGGUCUACAACAACUUGGAUUUUGUCUCUUAGGAGCUAAAUUUGGGUCCAAAAAGGUUGGAGGGGACCUUGUGAGUUUCAAAAGACUGGAUAUCUUGGGUUCUUUUUGUCCAGAGCUGAAUGGAGAUGAGGAGAAUUUCUUCAUCAAAGGAGAUGGCAAGAGGAAGACCAAAGAUGGCUCAUGGUGACCACUUGGACGUGGAGACUUAGCUGACAGGGCAGCUGGCUCCUUCCACAGGAAUGCGGAGAGGAAGGGCAUCUCUUCAGUCACAGUCUCAGAGAUCCCAGGUCAUCUUCAAUGUUUCUGCUACAUAUGAAAAGAAAUCUUUUACGUUUUAAAAGUCUAAAGCAGGGGUUAUUUACCUCUGGGUAACCUGAUGAAGUCUACUGAUCUCUUCUCAGAACAAUAAAAUAAAAUAUAUAGAUUGACA